Long non-coding RNA from Herpailurus yagouaroundi (jaguarundi), 390 nucleotides. RefSeq lists it as uncharacterized. The transcript has 3 exons. The record is from RefSeq and is a predicted model, not a curated record. NCBI's taxonomy places the organism in Eukaryota, Metazoa, Chordata, Mammalia, Carnivora, Felidae.
CAGUGUUGUGACGGGGACACAGCUGGUCCUGAGAAGGCAUCAUAUUCAGACAAGCAUGUCAGAUUGCAUUCAUUACUGUGGCUUCCUAUUUCUGGGAUGGCCAAAUGUAUGAAGAAUGGAUUAUUUAACACUUAUAACAUAUUUUGAAAACCUAAAUCACAUUGUUGCAACUAGGCAACUGUUGAAAAAUGGAAGCCCUGAAUUUUAGCUGGCACAUGUCUGCCUCAUUUCACAGCCUCCAUUGCAGGGAAGCCUGGCCACUGACCAAGUUUUGGACAAAGAGAUGUAAGUGGAAGUGGUAUAUGCAAUUUUGAGGAGUGUUUUUUAAGUGGGAAGGUAUGUUCUCCUUUCUCUUUCUUGUGGUGAGAAUGGGGCACUAUGAUUAGAGCA